GACGAACGGUGCGAACGUUAUUCGGAAUCACUGGGCUUAAAGGGCGCGUAGGCGGGCUCGUAAGUCAGGGGUGAAAUCCCACGGCCCAACCGUGGAAGUGCCUCUGAUACUGCGGGCCUCGAGGGGGAUAGGGGCGUGCGGAACUCAGGGUGGAGCGGUGAAAUGCGCAGAUAUCGGGAGGAACACCAGUGGCGAAGGCGACUACCUGGCCUGUUCUUGACGCUGAGGCGCGAAAGCUAGGGGAGCAAACGGG
This 253-nucleotide ribosomal RNA is filed under the name uncultured bacterium. RNAcentral describes it as "partial 16S ribosomal RNA". It matches the Rfam family "Bacterial small subunit ribosomal RNA", at positions 524 to 776 of the family's 1533-position model. The record is from RNAcentral.